Molecule: ribosomal RNA, 426 nt
Filed under: uncultured bacterium
Lineage: Bacteria
Description: bacterial SSU rRNA
Rfam family: Bacterial small subunit ribosomal RNA
Source: RNAcentral
GAGGAAUAUUGCGCAAUGGGGGAAACCCUGACGCAGCAACGCCGCGUGAGUGAAGAAGGCUUUCGGGUUGUAAAGCUCUGUCGGGUGGGAAGAAACUUCCCCAGGUAAAUAGCCUGGAGAACUGACGGUACCACCGAAGGAAGCACCGGCUAACUCCGUGCCAGCAGCCGCGGUAAGACGGAGGGUGCAAGCGUUGUUCGGAAUCACUGGGCGUAAAGCGCGUGUAGGCGGUCUGAUCAGUCGAGUGUGAAAGCCCGAGGCUCAACUUCGGAAGUGCACUCGAAACUUUCAGGCUUGAGUACGGGAGAGGGAAGUGGAAUUCCUGGUGUAGAGGUGAAAUUCGUAGAUAUCAGGAGGAACACCGGUGGCGAAGGCGGCUUCCUGGACCGAUACUGACGCUGAGACGCGAAAGCGUGGGGAGCAAAC